This 1324-nucleotide long non-coding RNA is filed under the name Equus caballus (horse). RNAcentral describes it as "lncRNA (ENSECAG00000050714.1)". The record is from RNAcentral. Lineage: Eukaryota; Metazoa; Chordata; Mammalia; Perissodactyla; Equidae.
UAAGGUCAACAGUGCCAUGCUGAUUGCUACUUCGUGAAGAUCAGCCGUGACUUCAAAUAGUAGAAUGUUCAACUAGCGAUGGCUUAGGCAAUAGAGACAGUUACUUCACAUACCCUCAAGAGGCCCCACUCUCUGUUUUUCUGCUCUAGCAUCCUCAGCUUUUCCUCAGUUGGCUUUUCUUUCUCAUUCCGGUCACCUGAAAGCCACACCAUGGCUUCCACGACUCUGAGCAUCACACAGUAAGGAGUAAGGAAGGAAGGAGGGGAGGAUGCCAUAGUGACAAAAGAUACCUGUGUGCACCUUUCUCCUUUUUAAUCAGGAAUGGAAAACGUUUCCCAAAAUCUCCUCAGGAAACCUCCUUCUAGGUCUGUCAUAACUUUCUCCCAUGCAAGAGUGUCUGAAACAGAGUCAGACGCAAAAGAGGAACGGCGGCUGGCACACAGUCCAUGCUCCACCAACACUGUCAACUGAAGGGAUGAGCAUCAGAGUUGGACAUGAGUGGAAGUGAAUAUUAACUGAAAUCCAGUAAGUUCAUAAAUAGAGGGGUCAUAGAGGCAGCGACAGACCACAGUGUUCCUAGGAUGAAAAAGAUGAGGAGCUGAAGAGAUGGUGCUUAUAUAUCGGAUAAAACCAAGAGCUGACAAGUGGAAGGCUGAGGUCAGCUGCUACAAUGAAAAGUCACGCUAUCUCACCUACAGCCCAUUUCUGAGUCAAGUCUCAUCCCAGAGCCCAUUGACUGAAGGAGAGACCAUGUUCUCUAGAGGAGAGAGUCUGGAACCAAAUCAAGUACCUGUUCUCCAGAAUUGGACCAGAUCCGUCUGCCUCCAGGUAAAGAGCUCUGGAGCCAGAGGACCUCCAGGAUUGGUGAAACAGCUCUGCAGCACCAUCGAGGCCCAGGGUCAUCUGCCGUCCACAGCAAGCCUGGGCAUGUUGAUUUCUUCCCUCCGUUUGUCCUCUUCAUGCUCACAAAACCACUGCCAUGUCUCUAGGGCCUCACAUCCUUGCAAGUUUUGCCUCAAGUACCUUUUCUCUUUGGACAACUCUGUUGCCUGAAAUAUAUAAAAAUCAAGUCUGGUUGGCAAGGAAAAUGGGGUGAAUGAUUGCUGGAUAGGCAUCCAGUUCUCCCUGCUUUAACCAAUGUGCCUAGAUUAUGUCCUUAUCUCCAAGUAGUUUUUGUUGCCUAGAGGUCUGGAGCAUCUAAUCUUUGUGGAAAGGGGACAAGGACAGUGAAAAUGAGAAUGUUUUUCAUGUAGUUAAGGUGAUUAAGGCCAUAGAGAUAUAUUUGAAACAAAAUCAUAAUUUUUCUUCCAAAGUGGUACCGAAU